Molecule: long non-coding RNA, 978 nt
Organism: Daphnia magna
Lineage: Eukaryota; Metazoa; Arthropoda; Branchiopoda; Diplostraca; Daphniidae
Exons: 2
Source: RefSeq, a predicted model, not a curated record
AUCGCGACGCCAUUCCAAAUGCGGCGCUUGUCCGCACUCCGUACCCGUGACGCAAUCCGCGCAGCCAUUGGCCUUGAUAGGUACCUGCGUAUCAGGUGAAUUGAAAAACGAAAAUAUUUACAUACAACUUGAUAAUGCGUCCGCGCGACGAACGAUAACACUUAGUCAUUCAAAAAACAAAAGGCCGAUCGAUAAGACUGGCGUAAGUGCUCUAACGGCUAUGCACGGCUAUGUCUGCGGGAUCUGUCUGCAAUAUACCAUGUUUUUUUUUUCGGCGCAUAACUCUUCAACCAUUGGUUGUCUCGCAUCUUGGACUGCAGCCCACUUGGCCCUUCGUUCAUUCAUUUCCGGUUUUGAUGGGCAUCAAACAGCUCCCAGUCGUUCAGCUAGUUCUUUCAUUUCGCUACAUUCGUGUGACUUUCAUCAAUCAAUAAGGCAGAGAGAAUGGAGAAGCGAAAAGAGAAGACGUGGCAUUGCAACUUUGUCAUCUUCGCGCCUCGAAUCAACCGAAAAAUUCAAUGGAGGAGUGGAAUUCGUUUUGUUUUCUUUUGGAACGAUCGAUGUGUAACCUUCAAAAGCACCAAAGACAAAGGGGUAGAGGGAGAGAGGAAUAAAAAAAAAUGAAAGAUCCAGUAAUCGGCCCUUUCCCGUCGAAGGUCUACAUCAUUUAAUGGCCUUGGCGACAAACUCGACAUCUUGUCACUUUUAUCUUUGACAUUCGUCAUUUUUUUCUUCUUCUUCUUUUCCCCUUUUUUUGGAUAGGAUUCGGUAUCCAGCUUCCGUUCGAUCGGCAAAAGUGAAUAGUGAUUCUGUGGCGUUCGACGAUAAAAAUCGGUGAUGGAUCACGACACCUGGCAUUUCCUUUCGCCCUCGUUCGAUUGAAAGUUCGUUUUUACAUCAGACCUCUUCCUUGCACAUCCAAUAAGUGUUUGACUGUAUGAAUAAUAAAACACAAAAAAUGCUCCUUUUCUUUUCUAA